GUGAUCGAUUUCGUGAUCUUUUUAAGAAUGCCGUGAACGGGCAUUUAUCCAAACUAUAUACACCUGGUUUGACAUAUCCGCGCGGUCUCAUCCUGGUUUAGCAAACGUGCAACGGAUUGAGCCAGGAUGCACUGAUUAAACUAGGUCAAGCCGCGAUUGUUCUGUUAUCCUGGCUUUCUUAAUUCUACUCUUAUGCAAUACCCCCCAGGCCAUAUGUCAAGCUCAAUAUUUUUGUCAUAUCUUGUAUACUCAUUAUUUCAGCGUGCUGGAAUACCCCUAAAUACUGUUUCCAUUUUUCCAUUCUGAAUGCAGCCUUUUCUGAAAUAAAUUGGACAAAUCACAACAUCUAAGUAAAUGAGUGGUUGACAGCUGUCCCUAAUCAAUAAACUAGAGAUCUGCAGAGACUCAGAAAACUAUAUAAGAAACCAAGGCAUGGUUGGUUAAAUCAAGAGGAUCUUUUGGGAGGCUUAUUGUAUUUGGUGUUGGGUUAUAUGGUAGGCGAAAUGGCUUUGAUGUUUGGACUCUCAUUGAGAGUUACCUUGAUAAACUGCCUGCUAUUUGGUGGGAUAGCCUGUUUUCCAACAUCAAAGGGUGACUAUGAAGGAAUUCACCAAGCUACACAAAAAGGAACAAACCACGGAAAUAAAACAAUAUGGCAUCGAAUACAUGUGCC
Long non-coding RNA from Esox lucius (northern pike), 673 nucleotides. Lineage: Eukaryota; Metazoa; Chordata; Actinopteri; Esociformes; Esocidae. The record is from Ensembl.